GCACCGGGAGCCGCAGAGGGGCAGCAGGCGUAAAACCUGCGGGGCGGGUUCGAUUCCCGCCCGGUGCA
RNAcentral lists this transfer RNA (68 nucleotides) under Caudoviricetes sp. Its description in RNAcentral is "tRNA-Leu". It matches the Rfam family "tRNA". From Rfam's summary of the family: Transfer RNA (tRNA) molecules are approximately 80 nucleotides in length. The record is from RNAcentral. Lineage: Duplodnaviria; Heunggongvirae; Uroviricota; Caudoviricetes.